GGCUGUGAGGGCGAUCGGGCUGCGACGUCUGUCACGCCAUCGAUUGCUAGGGUCGAUUCGGCUGAUCUUGCUGACCAGACGGGUGUCCCCCCUCCUCCCUCACUGCUCCACCUGCGUCCCGCCCAAAGCUGCAUGCUGCGCCGACCAUCCUGACAGAGGAGGACCAGUCUUUGGUCAAGCGUAUGUGAGUAGCUGCACUCCCCUGCUAGAACUCCAGACAAGCUCUCAAGGUCCAAAUAACACUUGGGAUUAGGGUUUCAACAGGAAUUUGGGGUGCCCAGUGCAACCCAUAAGCUAUGGCCUCCCGUGGGAUGGGGCAGAGA
Molecule: small nuclear RNA, 323 nt
Filed under: Piliocolobus tephrosceles (Ugandan red Colobus)
Lineage: Eukaryota; Metazoa; Chordata; Mammalia; Primates; Cercopithecidae
Description: 7SK RNA (ENSPTEG00000000076.1)
Rfam family: 7SK RNA (bases 1-270)
About the family: 7SK was discovered as an abundant small nuclear RNA in the mid-70s but a possible function has only recently been suggested.
Source: RNAcentral